RNAcentral lists this ribosomal RNA (505 nucleotides) under uncultured bacterium. RNAcentral's name for it is "partial 16S ribosomal RNA". It matches the Rfam family "Bacterial small subunit ribosomal RNA", at positions 28 to 507 of the family's 1533-position model. The record is from RNAcentral.
GACGAACGCUGGCGGCGUGCCUAAUACAUGCAAGUAGAACGCACAGUUUAUACCGUAGCUUGCUACACCAUAAACUGUGAGUUGCGAACGGGUGAGUAACGCGUAGGUAACCUGCCUGGUAGCGGGGGAUAACUAUUGGAAACGAUAGCUAAUACCGCAUAAUAUUGAUUAUUGCAUGAUAAUUGAUUGAAAGAUGCUAUUGCAUCACUACCAGAUGGACCUGCGUUGUAUUAGCUAGUAGGUGAGGUAACGGCUCACCUAGGCGACGAUACAUAGCCGACCUGAGAGGGUGAUCGGCCACACUGGGACUGAGACACGGCCCAGACUCCUACGGGAGGCAGCAGUAGGGAAUCUUCGGCAAUAGACGAAAGUCUGACCGAGCAACGCCGCGUGAGUGAAGAAGGUUGUCGGAUCGUAAAGCUCUGUUGUAAGAGAAGAACGGGUGUGAGAGUGGAAAGUUCACACUGUGACGGUAUCUUACCAGAAAGGGACGGCUAACUACGUG